This 2893-nucleotide long non-coding RNA is filed under the name Ixodes scapularis (black-legged tick). Its description in RNAcentral is "uncharacterized LOC120849688". The record is from RNAcentral. Lineage: Eukaryota; Metazoa; Arthropoda; Arachnida; Ixodida; Ixodidae.
AAGAGUUAAAAUACGAAGUAUUAUAGUCACGUGAUACAUCCCCUGCGUCAGGAAGUGGUCCGACGUGAUAAACCGAACGGUCCGGCCGGAGGACAAGGAAGCGUGGAAGAAGAACCGAAGCCACCGAAGCAACGUUCGCGGGAAGUCUAACCCACAGUGGUCUAACCGCUUCAAGCACGUUGCAGAGUCGAGGCCAGUUGAGCGGCCGGAAUUUUACGAACGAUUAUGCAAGCGUACGUCUUGAGGACGACCAUGAGCCACAUAUCAUCUCAAAUUUCUGCCCGUCAAGCCUUGUGACGAAACGGAAUCGGACUUCUUCAAGGCGCGGAUCCUAAAGUUGUUUGGAUCGCAGAGUGACGCGGAAACCCAGUGACAGUAAGCGGGUGCUAGUACCUCCGACGAGAUGAGUGACUGCCCGGGAGGGCUGGAGGAAGCUUGUAUGAGAUAGCUGGCCCGAGCCCGAACCAGGCCAAUCAACGUGCUGGCCCGAGCCCGGCCCGGGCCCACAGUCAAAAGUCAGAGCCCAUCCCAGGCCUGGGCUUUCGGCUCAGCAAAGUCUGCGGAUCUGGUUAUGCUUCCUGUACGAGACAGAUCACGAAGCGGUUGCUGACUGACCAGUUGGGGUGAAAAUUUUUGUGGGAAGGACGUAAGAGAAAGUUGACAUUCAGGAACCUUCACCUUGCUGAGUGCAUCAUAAAUGCAGUGCAGAGCUGCCAUACAUGUGAAGACUUCAAGGUAGAAACCAUGGUCACGGAUUAACUUCGCCACGCACCUGCCUGACAUCAGUCAUCUCAAAUGGAACAUUCUGCACCACAGGAGAGGGAGAUGUGAACUGCCUUAAGUGGGCCUUGAAUGCGCUGAGCUUUUUAUUAUGUUUAUCAGACAUUUUUUUUAAGCAAAGUAUCCUGCAUUGUUCAGCCGUCCGUUAUCGUGCAGCGGGCUCAGUUCGGCAAACACGACCAGCGGCCGGGUGGGAGCAUCGCCGACUACAUCGCCGAGCUUCGUCGACUGUCGGAGCACUGCGACUUCGGGUUGACGCUGGACGAUGUGCUCCGAGACAGGUUGGUCUGCGGUCUACGGGAAGCUUCAAUGGAUUCCACGUUAUUCAAGAUGUCAACCGACGAGAUCAUGGAGCUACAGCGAACGGAGGAACUCCAAAACAGCGAGCGCAGUGCCGCGCCAGACCCGGACCCUUUGGGGCCCGCUGAGGAGCCCCACUCCUGGUUGGGGAGACCAACAGAGGGCCGACCCCGGGAGGUGGACCCUGCCGUCCUGGACUUCCUCCGGGGGCACUGGGGCUCCGAUGGGCGCUCUGAGCGGUGCAGGGCGGCCCUGACGAGCUUCCCGCGACUGCGGUUCCCCUUCGCAACGGUGCCGGAGUUGAAUCUGGAAAUGAAGGCACUGGCAAAGGAGAGGAGCCUCCACUCAGAGGGAGGCUCGAAAGGGCCCGCGAAUGUCACGGCGCGGGACCAGGUGCUGUGGGAGGUCCAAGAUUCCGGGCUGCGGCUAUGGGGCCACUUGUAGGCAUAUCUUGGAGAUCGGCCUCUCGGAGGAGGCCAUCAACAAGACGGGGGCGGACCACUUGGCGGCAGCUGCCGCCUAUCUGGGGCAGCUCUUUGCGUCGCUCACCCGUGAGCGCCGGGAGGGGGUGAUCGCACGAGUCGUCCCAGACCUCCGCCAGAUGGUGGCCCAUGACGGCGGGGAUGAGGGAUCCCCCUUGCUGUUCGGGGAGGGCUUCCUGGGGCAGCUCCGAACAACGAUGAAAGUGACCCUCAAGGUCCUCCGGGAAGCCUGCCAACAGUCCCCUCCCGCCGCAGACCCGGCAGUCAAGAGGCCCCGCAGCUCGGCUGCCCCGAGGACCAGUGCCUAGAGCCGGAGUGAGGACCAGCAACCCUUUCACAGGGGGCCAUCUUCCCGAGGGGGCCUACAUCAACCAAGGACAUCAAGAUAAAUCUAAACCCGCACCUCUUAGCACAACCGCCCGCGGGCCGACUGGCAUAUUGCCGCGAAGCGUGGAGGUUACUCACCCACGAUGCAUGGGUCCUUCAGGCAAUACAGGGGUACAAGCUGGAUUAAAACUUUGGUUUGGGCGAGUUGGUUCAUACUGAAAUAAAAGGUUGAAAAGUGCAAACAAAACAGGGACAAUAGAGGCGCAAGACGACAAGACGGGCGCUAACUCACAACUGAUUUUAUUAGAAAAACAAUGUCACCUAUAUACGCAAAAGCGUCUGCUACCCUGCAAUACAAUAAUGCCACUCUCACAGGCAACUAUCUAGAAAAGUUACUUUUUUUUUACAUGCUAACGCAGUUGUUAUCUUUCCUUUUGAUGUAAAACGCUUCUGUAAUUUCUGUCUCGGUUUUGGCCAUUGCUUUUUUUUUUUAACUUUGUUUCAGCCAAAAGAGCAGUGGUCAGUAAGAUGUCCCACCGCGUUGUUGCGCACAGUAAGAUUAAGUUCCCAUGCCCUAUCGUUAAAACGGCGCCCAGUUUACCCGAUGUAGACUUUUCCGCAGCUUAACAGUAUCUCGUAUACGAUAUUGGUGACACAUUCAGUGUACUGCACUGCGUGCUUCGUAGAGCAGAGCGCUUUUUUCUGCCGUGUAAGCAUCGGAUAUUUUUUAGAGCUUGCAAGGGCCCGAGAAAACAAUGUUUACACCGUAUCUGCUAGCUAUCUUUUUGUAGGUUGUUUUGUUGUUGUUUUUUUUUUCUCUAAUUUUUAUUCAAUAAUGUAUAAUGAUGACAUUGAUUGCCUUAUUCGCGUGUGCUAAAAUGACUAGAAAUGUAUGCCUUUAUAUAACAUUAUGUACCCCCUCCUACCACAUCUCCCGAAGGAGAUAGUAGUAUCAAUAAAUAAAAAAAAAAUAAAAAAAAAUAUUGUGGGACGCUUUAUGCCAA